Molecule: transfer RNA, 72 nt
Filed under: Euphorbia lindenii
Lineage: Eukaryota; Viridiplantae; Streptophyta; Magnoliopsida; Malpighiales; Euphorbiaceae
Also listed under: 1 other name
Description: tRNA-Gln
Rfam family: tRNA
About the family: Transfer RNA (tRNA) molecules are approximately 80 nucleotides in length. Their secondary structure includes four short double-helical elements and three loops (D, anti-codon, and T loops). Further hydrogen bonds mediate the characteristic L-shaped molecular structure. tRNAs have two regions of fundamental functional importance: the anti-codon, which is responsible for specific mRNA codon recognition, and the 3' end, to which the tRNAs corresponding amino acid is attached (by aminoacyl-tRNA synthetases). tRNAs cope with the degeneracy of the genetic code in two manners: having more than one tRNA (with a specific anti-codon) for a particular amino acid; and 'wobble' base-pairing, i.e. permitting non-standard base-pairing at the 3rd anti-codon position.
Source: RNAcentral
UGGGGCGUAGCCAAGUGGUAAGGCAACGGGUUUUGGUCCCGCUAUUCGGGGGUUCGAAUCCUUCCGUCCCAG